CGAUUCGAGGUCAACCUUGAGAAGUUGGGGUUUUACGGCAGGGGAUCASUCCAAGUAAUAGGCGAGAUAAAAAAUUACUACGUCUAGAGUGUGAACCAACUCCACCACUAACUUUGAGGAGCUACGUUGCCGUAGGCUCCCAACACUAAGCAACUAAGGCUUAAGGGUCGAAAUGACGCUCGAACGGUCCUGCCCACUAGAAUACUAAUGGGCGCAAUAUGCGUUCAAAGAUUCGAUGAUUCACUGAAUUCUGCAAUUCACAUUACUUAUCGCAUUUCGCUGCGUUCUUCAUCGAUGCCAGAACCAAGAGAUCCGUUGUUGAAAGUUUUAACUUAUUUAGUUAUAGGUUCAGAAUUCAAUAUCAAACAGAGUUUGGUGGGCCGCCGGCAGGCUUAUCCGCACCUCCCGGGUAAGUCCUACAGGGUAGGACUACGAGGUAGGCGCGACCUGCCGAGGCAACGUUAGGUAUGUUCACAUGGGUUUGGGAGUUAUAGAACUCUUUAAUGAUCCCUCCGCAGGUUCACCUACGGAA
Molecule: ribosomal RNA, 532 nt
Filed under: fungal sp. SNB-LD1.12
Lineage: Eukaryota; Fungi
Description: partial large subunit ribosomal RNA
Source: RNAcentral